AUCUAUGGUCACAGCAUCCUGAUUGUUCCCGAUCUCUUCUGAUCUCAGAAACUAAGCAAGGUUGGGCCUGGCUAAUACUUGGACGAAAGAUA
RNAcentral lists this ribosomal RNA (92 nucleotides) under Propithecus coquereli (Coquerel's sifaka). Lineage: Eukaryota; Metazoa; Chordata; Mammalia; Primates; Indriidae. The record is from RNAcentral.